UGGGGAAUUUUGGACAAUGGGGGCAACCCUGAUCCAGCGAUGCCGCGUGAGUGAAGAAGGCCUGCGGGUUGUAAAGCUCUUUCAGUGGGGAGGAAGGCCCCGAAGUGAAUACCUUCGGGGAUUGACGUUACCCGCAAAAGAAGCACCGGCUAACUCUGUGCCAGCAGCCGCGGUAAUACAGAGGGUGCGAGCGUUAAUCGGAAUUACUGGGCGUAAAGGGCGUGUAGGUGGUUAUGUAAGUUUGAUGUGAAAGCCCCGGGCUUAACCUGGGAACUGCGUUGAAAACUGCAAGACUAGAGUUGGACAGAGGGUGGUGGAAUUUCCGGUGUAGCGGUGAAAUGCGUAGAGAUCGGAAAGAACAUCCGUGGCGAAGGCGGCCACCUGGGUCCAAACUGACACUGAGGCGCGAAAGCGUGGGGAGCAAACAGG
Molecule: ribosomal RNA, 429 nt
Filed under: uncultured bacterium
Lineage: Bacteria
Description: bacterial SSU rRNA
Rfam family: Bacterial small subunit ribosomal RNA
Source: RNAcentral